GAUGAACGCUAGCGGCAGGCCUAAUACAUGCAAGCCGAACGGCAAGAUUUUCAGCAAUGGAAAUCCUAGAGUGGCGUAAGGGUGCGUAACACGUAUGCAAUCUGCCCUCAACAGGAGGAUAGCUCCCCGAAAGGGGAAUUAAGACUCCAUAAGAUCUUAGAGUGGCAUCACUUAGAGAUUAAACUACCAGGGGUUNAGGAUGAGCAUGCGCAUGAUUAGUAGUUGGCGGGUAACGCCCACCAAGACGAUGAUCAUUAGGGGAACUGAGAGGUUGA
This 275-nucleotide ribosomal RNA is filed under the name uncultured bacterium. RNAcentral describes it as "partial 16S ribosomal RNA". It matches the Rfam family "Bacterial small subunit ribosomal RNA", at positions 28 to 303 of the family's 1533-position model. The record is from RNAcentral.